GACGAACGCUGGCGGCGUGCCUAAUACAUGCAAGUCGAGCGAAGUUUUUCUGGUGCUUGCACUAGAAAAACUUAGCGGCGAACGGGUGAGUAACACGUAAAGAACCUGCCUCAUAGACUGGGACAACUAUUGGAAACGAUAGCUAAUACCGGAUAACAGUAUUUCUCGCAUGAGAGAUAUUUAAAAGUUGGUUAUGCUAACACUAUGAGAUGGCUUUGCGGUGCAUUAGCUAGUUGGUGGGGUAAAGGCCUACCAAGGCGACGAUGCAUAGCCGACCUGAGAGGGUGAUCGGCCACACUGGGACUGAGACACGGCCCAGACUCCUACGGGAGGCAGCAGUAGGGAAUCUUCCGCAAUGGGCGAAAGCCUGACGGAGCAACGCCGCGUGAGUGAAGAAAGGAUUUCGGUUCGUAAAAGCUCUGUUGUUAGGGAAAGAAAUGGAUAAUGUAG
RNAcentral lists this ribosomal RNA (450 nucleotides) under Gemella morbillorum. RNAcentral's name for it is "bacterial SSU rRNA". It matches the Rfam family "Bacterial small subunit ribosomal RNA", at positions 28 to 463 of the family's 1533-position model. Lineage: Bacteria; Bacillati; Bacillota; Bacilli; Caryophanales; Gemellaceae. The record is from RNAcentral.